AGCGUAGACGGAUGGACAAGUCUGAUGUGAAAGGCUGGGGCUCAACCCCGGGACUGCAUUGGAAACUGCCCGUCUUGAGUGCCGGAGAGGUAAGCGGAAUUCCUAGUGUAGCGGUGAAAUGCGUAGAUAUUAGGAGGAACACCAGUGGCGAAGGCGGCUUACUGGACGGUAACUGACGUUGAGGCUCGAAAGCGUGGGGAAGCAAACAG
Molecule: ribosomal RNA, 209 nt
Filed under: uncultured bacterium
Lineage: Bacteria
Description: partial 16S ribosomal RNA
Rfam family: Bacterial small subunit ribosomal RNA
Source: RNAcentral